RNAcentral lists this ribosomal RNA (695 nucleotides) under uncultured bacterium. RNAcentral's name for it is "bacterial SSU rRNA". It matches the Rfam family "Bacterial small subunit ribosomal RNA", at positions 63 to 750 of the family's 1533-position model. The record is from RNAcentral.
CGAGGGGCAGCGGGGUAGUGCUUGCACUACUGCCGGCGACCGGCGCACGGGUGAGUAACACGUAUGGAACCUGCCCGCAGCAGGGGGAUAAGCGGAAGAAAUUCCGUCUAAUACCGCGCAACAACGUUGGGAGGCAUCUCCCGAUGUUUAAAGAUUUAUCGGCUGCGGAUGGCCAUGCGGCGCAUUAGCUAGUCGGCGGGGUAACGGCCCACCGAGGCGACGAUGCGUAGGGGUUCUGAGAGGAAGGUCCCCCACACUGGUACUGAGACACGGACCAGACUCCUACGGGAGGCAGCAGUGAGGAAUAUUGGUCAAUGGCCGAGAGGCUGAACCAGCCAAGUCGCGUGAGGGAAGACGGCCCUACGGGUUGUAAACCUCUUUUGUCGGGGAGCAAAGCGAACCACGUGUGGUUCAUUGAGAGUACCCGAAGAAAAAGCAUCGGCUAACUCCGUGCCAGCAGCCGCGGUAAUACGGAGGAUGCGAGCGUUAUCCGGAUUUAUUGGGUUUAAAGGGUGCGCAGGCGGAGGUGCAAGUCAGCGGUCAAAUUGCGGGGCUCAACCCCGUACUGCCGUUGAAACUGCAUCCCUUGAGUGCGCGAGAAGUAUGCGGAAUGCGUGGUGUAGCGGUGAAAUGCAUAGAUAUCACGCAGAACUCCGAUUGCGAAGGCAGCAUACCGGCGCUCAACUGACGCUCAG